Jackrogersella minutella is the source of this 93-nucleotide non-coding RNA. NCBI's taxonomy places the organism in Eukaryota, Fungi, Ascomycota, Sordariomycetes, Xylariales, Hypoxylaceae. The record is from the annotation of a GenBank genome assembly.
CCCUUGGUAGUCUAGUUGGUUUAUGGCGUUCGACUGUAAUUGUCUUCAUAAUUGUAUAUCGAAAGGUCACUGGUUCGAUUCCAGUCCGAGGGA